UUGGAGGGCAAGUCUGGUGCCAGCAGCCGCGGUAAUUCCAGCUCCAAUAGCGUAUAUUAAAGUUGCUGCUGUUAAAAAGCUCGUAGUUGAAUUUCGGGACCAUCAUGUCGGUCGUGCCUCGGUACGUACUGGUAUUGUUGGUUUCUCCCUUCUGACGAACCAUGAUGUCAUUUAUUUGGUGUUGUGGGGAAUCAGGACUGUUACUUUGAAAAAAUUAGAGUGUUUAAAGCAGGCUCACGCUUGAAUACAUUAGCAUGGAAUAAUGAAAUAGGACGUUUGAUUCUAUUUUGUUGGUUUCUAGGAUCGACGUAAUGAUUAAUAGGGAUAGUUGGGGGCAUUAGUAUUCAAUUGUCAGAGGUGAAAUUCUUGGAUUUAUUGAAGACUAACUACUGCGAAAGCAUUUGCCAAGGAUGUUUUCAUUAAUCAAGAACGAGAGUUAGGGGAUCGAAGACGAUCAGAUACCGUCGUAGUCUUAACCAUAAACUAUGCCGACUAGGGAUCGGAUGAUGUUAAUUUUUUAAUGACUCAUUCGGCGCCUUACGGGAAAC
Molecule: ribosomal RNA, 548 nt
Filed under: uncultured Glomeromycotina
Lineage: Eukaryota; Fungi; Glomeromycota
Description: SSU rRNA
Rfam family: Eukaryotic small subunit ribosomal RNA
Source: RNAcentral